CGUUUUUCCGCCUAAAGAGAAGCUUGCGGCUGAUUAGCUUGUUGGUAAGGUAAUGGCUUACCAAGGCGACGAUCAGUAUCUGGUUUGAGAGGACGAUCAGACACACUGGAACUGAGACACGGUCCAGACUCCUACGGGAGGCAGCAGUGGGGAAUUUUCCGCAAUGGGCGAAAGCCUGACGGAGCAAUACCGCGUGAGGGAUGAAUGCCUAUGGGUUGUAAACCUCUUUUUUCAGGGAGGAACAAAAUGACGUGUACCUGAAGAAUAAGCAUCGGCUAACUCCGUGCCAGCAGCCGCGGUAAGACGGAGGAUGCAAGUGUUAUCCGGAAUCACUGGGCGUAAAAGCGUCUGUAGGUGGUUUAAUAAGUCAACUGUUAAAUCUUGAGGCUCAACCUCGAACCGCAGUCGAAACUAUUAGACUAGAAUAUAGUGGGG
This 435-nucleotide ribosomal RNA is filed under the name uncultured bacterium. Its description in RNAcentral is "bacterial SSU rRNA". It matches the Rfam family "Bacterial small subunit ribosomal RNA", at positions 208 to 656 of the family's 1533-position model. The record is from RNAcentral.